ACCUACGGGGCGCAGCAGUCGAGAAUCAUUCACAAUGGGGGAAACCCUGAUGGUGCGACGCCGCGUGGGGAAUGAAGGUCUUCGGAUUGUAAACCCCUGUCAUGUGGGAGCAAAUUAAAAAGAUAGUACCACAAGAGGAAGAGACGGCUAACUCUGUGCCAGCAGCCGCGGUAAUACAGAGGUCUCAAGCGUUGUUCGGAAUCACUGGGCGUAAAGCGUGCGUAGGCUGUUUCGUAAGUCGUGUGUGAAAGGCGCGGGCUCAACCCGCGGACGGCACAUGGUACUGCGAGACUAGAGUAAUGGAG
RNAcentral lists this ribosomal RNA (305 nucleotides) under uncultured bacterium. Its description in RNAcentral is "bacterial SSU rRNA". It matches the Rfam family "Bacterial small subunit ribosomal RNA", at positions 337 to 654 of the family's 1533-position model. The record is from RNAcentral.